CCUACGAGGUGCAGCAGUAGGGAAUAUUGCUCAAUGGGGGAAACCCGAAAGAAGCAACGCCCGGGGGAGGAGGAAGGUUUUCGGAUUGUAAACUCCUUUGGUUAUAAAAGAUAAUGACGGUAUCUAACGAAUAAGCACCGGCUAACUCCGUGCCAGAGGCCGCGGUAAUACGGAGGGGGCAAGCGUUACUCGGAAUCCCUGGGCGUAAAGAGCGCGUAGGCGGGAUAGCAAGUCAGAUGUGAAAUCCUAUGGCUUAACCAUAGAACUGCAUUUGAAACUGUUAUUCUAGAGUAUGGGAGAGGUAGGUGGAAUUCUUGGUGUAGGGGUAAAAUCCGUAGAGAUCAAGAGGAAUACUCAUUGCGAAGGCGACCUGCUAGAACAUAACUGACGCUGAUGCGCGAAAGCGUGGGGAGCAAACAGGAUUAGAUACCCGGGUAGUC
This 440-nucleotide ribosomal RNA is filed under the name uncultured bacterium. RNAcentral describes it as "partial 16S ribosomal RNA". It matches the Rfam family "Bacterial small subunit ribosomal RNA", at positions 338 to 795 of the family's 1533-position model. The record is from RNAcentral.